This is a long non-coding RNA of Gadus macrocephalus (Pacific cod), 1459 nucleotides long. RefSeq lists it as uncharacterized. The record is from RefSeq and is a predicted model, not a curated record. The transcript is spliced from 2 exons. Lineage: Eukaryota; Metazoa; Chordata; Actinopteri; Gadiformes; Gadidae.
CCGUCUGUCUCUUUGUCUGCUAGUCAGCUUGUCUAUUUGUGUGCUGGUCAGUCCGUCUGUUUAUGUAUCUGCUAGUUGCCGCCUGCUCGUCUGCUAGUCAGCUUGUCUGUCUCUCCGUCUGUCUGUCAGUCUAUCUGCCAGUCUGACUGUCUGUCGAUCACGCCUGCUAUUUCUCCCUUCAUGUUACCCUCCCAGGUACUGCUAAGGUACAGGAGUAGGACCCAUCUUAGCUAUGAUGGUUUAUGAUUUCCCAACUUAUAUCACCGUGACCGGAAACCUGACACCUGCUGGAAGUGCGGCCUCACCUUCUCGUCUAUAGACAGAAGAAACGCCACUCCAAGCCGACACGUCCGCCAUGACUCAGCCAGCAGCUAAAAUAUGACUUCUCCCGGUUAAGGAGAGACGGCUGAGAUUGGAUUUAGAUGGAAAUGGAGCUGCCGGAUACUUUCCACGGUAAUAUGCGUCUCCACGCCGAGUGGAUCUGGCCGAAUGCAGUUCACAGACGGAUAACUUUCCGGAACAAUUUUGUGCUGUGUGAGAAAAGUGGAAGGGAGUUGUUGAACAACUUCCUCGAAGACUGAGACAAUGUAGGGCAGGAAUAAAGGAAUUUAUUACGGCUAUAACCCCAGGAGGAUUUUUACACGAUGACAACUCACGAGCUAACUCCCAAGCAUAGAGAAGUGAGCUUCUGUCGCUUGUAGCGUGGACCCCACCUCCUCCCGCGCUCGCUCUGCCCUUCAACCCAGCAUGACACCCCUGACCGCUCCGAGAGCCCAUUCUUCAGUCCAAAGCGCAGGAACAAAUGUCUCGCAAUUGUUCAAAUCAUGCUAUAAUCGCCGCCCGCAGAGAAGAGCAUUGGAGUCCAGAAUCCAAGGUCCAGAGUCCAGUGGGCUACAUUAUCCAGUGUGUGAUUUCCUCUCCCUUUCAUCCCAACCUCCUGUCAAAGUCGGUUCAGUCCUCUCGCUAUGCACAAAAGCCCAUACAAAUAUACACAGAAAAAAAAAAGCAUAGAGAACAUUCUACAAUUGACUUUAGACGAUUUCCUUGUGUCACGACGCACUUACUGCUACAAUGCACUGGCCGGCCGCUAAUUUGAAAAUAACCUACUAACCUAUUGUUCUGGUUCUGCCUCUAGGUGGGUUUCAGCUCCUUUGUACUCCUGUGUUUUAUGGGAACUUGCUUGUGCAGCACUUACAUUGUACUUGCUCCAAUUCUGAUUCUGGCUUUGAUUGUUCUCAGCGUCAUCUGCUCGUGGCUUUAGAUAAAAGAUUCAGCCUAAUGACUAUGAAUUUUAUUGAAGUAGGACAAAACAAAUCUUCAGUCCACUGUGUGUGUGUGUGUGUGUGUGUGUGUGUGUGUGUGUGUGUGUGUGUGUGUGUGUGUGUGUGUGUGUGUGUGUGUGUGUGUGUGUGUGUGUGUGUGUGUGUGUGUGUGUGUGUGUGUGUGUUGGUGUGUUUGU